GGAAUAUUGCACAAUGGGCGAAAGCCUGAUGCAGCGACGCCGCGUGAGGGAUGACGGCCUUCGGGUUGUAAACCUCUUUCAGUAGGGAAGAAGCGAAAGUGACGGUACCUGCAGAAGAAGCGCCGGCUAACUACGUGCCAGCAGCCGCGGUAAUACGUAGGGCGCAAGCGUUAUCCGGAAUUAUUGGGCGUAAAGAGCUCGUAGGCGGUUUGUCGCGUCUGCCGUGAAAGUCCGAGGCUCAACUUCGGAUCUGCGGUGGGUACGGGCAGACUAGAGUGAUGUAGGGGAGACUGGAAUUCCUGGUGUAGCGGUGAAAUGCGCAGAUAUCAGGAGGAACACCGAUGGCGAAGGCAGGUCUCUGGGCAUCUACUGACGCUGAGGAGCGAAAGCAUGGGGAGCGAACAGGAUUAGAUACCCUUG
RNAcentral lists this ribosomal RNA (420 nucleotides) under uncultured Paeniglutamicibacter sp. RNAcentral describes it as "bacterial SSU rRNA". It matches the Rfam family "Bacterial small subunit ribosomal RNA", at positions 358 to 790 of the family's 1533-position model. Lineage: Bacteria; Bacillati; Actinomycetota; Actinomycetes; Micrococcales; Micrococcaceae. The record is from RNAcentral.